Non-coding RNA from Phrynosoma platyrhinos (Desert horned lizard), 72 nucleotides. Lineage: Eukaryota; Metazoa; Chordata; Lepidosauria; Squamata; Phrynosomatidae. The record is from the annotation of a GenBank genome assembly.
GUGUGUGUGUUUUAGUGGUUUGAGGGUUAGACUAAAACUCUGGAGCCCAGGGUUCAAAUUCCAGGUUAUAGA